CGCUGGGAAUACCCGCUGGUGGAUCGGGUGGUCCUGGAAAAAUUUAAUCAAGCCGUUACUCACAGGUGGAAAUAUUUUAUAAAAAAUAUACCCGUGAGCCUAGUUUGAAGCUCGUAGCAAUGGCCCUCCAUCACGAUAGAUUCAUCAGGAAGGGAUUGCAAAAAUUUUGGUGCAUUUUUGUCAGACGUAGACGGAUCAUGGGGGUCAAGAACGAUCACCUGGAAUAAUCGACAAGAACAAUUGUAAGUAAAUUGACUAACAAUAGAAUGUCAGUAUAUUCAAGUGUUUACCUGACAAGUAUUUUUCGUGGAACCAAGGACGUUCGUUGCCACGCAGGUGUAUUCACCCGCGUCACUUGCUUUCACUUUUGAAAUUUCUACUUUGGCGGUUUUACCAUCGAAGUAUCUUUUUAUUCGAUUCGAUCGUUCCAACGGUCGUCCAUUUCUUGAUAUCAUAAAUAAUCAAAAACAAUAAUUAUUUCUUCGAAUUAACUAAUAAGGGAUAAAUUUGAAUUUUACCUGAACCAUGUUGGUGUCGGACUCGGCGUUCCUCUGAUGCUACAAUCAAGAUAUAAUCGUCCAUUUAUUCUACUGGUCGUGUCUAAGAGGCUUCGACCAAAAGAUGGGUAAGUUCUGGGCGAUGCACUCCUGGUUCUGAUGGUUCGAGACACUGGGCCAAGUAACUGACGAUCUAUUCGAAACAAAGGCACGUGAAAUAUUAUUAAUCAUAAUAUUAUUAAAUGUUAUUUACGUACUUAUAAUUUCCAGACGAGCACUCGCUUCGAUGCGACCAUAAUCGUUCUCCGCUAUCACUCUGUACAAUCCUGCGUCCUCUUGGGUAACUUCGACGAUCUCCAAUAUUUUAACAUCGUCUCUUUCUUUUAUAGAGAUCCUCGCCGUAGGGGUUACCGCUAAACCAUUCUUGUCCCAUUUCACCCACGGCGUUGGAUGACCCACCACGGCGCACUGGAAUCGUACGGUUUCACCUUCCUCGACGACCCGGUUGUGCGGAACCGCGUAAAAUUUCGGCGGACUGAUUUUUGGUCGUCUCAACAUUGAUCUGCUUCGCGGUAAAAGCUGCGGAGACCUCAAUUCUCGGCCAUCUGUAAAAUAUUUUUCAUUUCAGGUUCUUCGUUUUCUUGGAAUAUCGUUUGUUCGACGAUGGAUCGUUGCGAGAAAUAAUUUUUCAUAACAUUUAUAUAAAUAUUUGUACUCACGCGACACGGCUGGAGAUAAGCUUCUAAUCGGCGUCGAUCGCGGCGUCGAUCUCGGUGUAGAUCCUGCUGACAACAAACCCGCAGGCCUCGUAAGUCUUUGGCACAAAACAUUUUCCUUCCCCUCAGGAACUGGAACAUUAUGCAAUUUUUUUUUUAUAAAGAAAAACACGUCUAAUCAAUUAAGAGUAAUUUACAAGUUGUUUUUCAUUUCCUUGUUACAGAUUACUGAAUCGUAGGCGACGAGCAAGUUCCUUAUCGUCGAAUUUUAAUAAAACUAGUCUCUAAGUGUAUUGCAUGAAUCAAUUUGCAUCGAAUAUACGGUAGCAAUUGAAAAA
Non-coding RNA from Osmia lignaria (orchard mason bee), 1551 nucleotides. Lineage: Eukaryota; Metazoa; Arthropoda; Insecta; Hymenoptera; Megachilidae. The record is from RefSeq and is a predicted model, not a curated record.